AAGAAAACCCUCUCUUCUUCAUUUCUUCUUCUUCUCUCUCUUUUUCUUCUGACUGUAACUUCAAUGGCGGUUUCUUCUAGAAAAUCAAGCGGCCCGGUUCUGAGGUCUCUUUCACCUUCCGGGAGGUUCUAUGGCUCCUAUUCUUCUUCUUCAUCUUCUUCCUCGUCGGCCUUUGCUUCAUCCACAUCAAGCUUUUCCACCAGAAACCCUACUUCGUUUUUCCGUAGAUCUGUAUCUCCUUCUCGUGUUAAUCUGCAAGGAUCUUCUUCUCCGUCAGCAUCGUCUGUGAGAUUUUCACUGGACCGGUCUAUUUCUCCGAAUCGGCCUAUCUCUGUUUUGUCUCGUACCAGUGGGAAUCAUCAAGUAGUGAAGAGACAGAGCAACCAGAAGAGGACCUGCAUGUGUUCCCCAACCACGCACCCUGGUUCGUUCCGGUGCAGUCUCCACAAAGGCGUUCAGUCGCAACCUUCGACUCCUUACUCGUCUAAUCGGCUCAACGCUCGGAGAUCGGCGAUGACGAACUCUCUGGUUAGGAUCGGAGGAGUUGAAGGCGAUAUAUUGAGGCGAGCUUUGGCGUCUCUCAUCCGACCUUCCUCUCAUAGUCAAAGACGACGAGCGGAUUUCUGUCCAAGACCGAGCCGGCUUUCAAUCAUGUCGAAAGCCGAUGAUCUGUGAUGGAGAUGAUUUUGGUACGUUGGCCAAUAACCUCUGGUUUAUUAAUCUUUUUACCUCUUCUCUGAGUUUUCAACGACGAAGACGGCGGAUUCCAACACAGGUUCGACGGCAAGGAUACAGAAUUGGAGGCGAAGCUUGGGAAUGGGAUCUGAUUGCCUCUACAGGACACCUCGCUUUCUGGAGUUGAACUAGAA
RNAcentral lists this unclassified non-coding RNA (869 nucleotides) under Hevea brasiliensis (rubber tree). Lineage: Eukaryota; Viridiplantae; Streptophyta; Magnoliopsida; Malpighiales; Euphorbiaceae. The record is from RNAcentral.